RNAcentral lists this transfer RNA (73 nucleotides) under Ipomoea nil (Japanese morning glory). It matches the Rfam family "tRNA". From Rfam's summary of the family: Transfer RNA (tRNA) molecules are approximately 80 nucleotides in length. Lineage: Eukaryota; Viridiplantae; Streptophyta; Magnoliopsida; Solanales; Convolvulaceae. The record is from Rfam by way of RNAcentral.
GCCCGUCUAGCUUAGUUGGUAGCGCGUAAAGCUCUUAACCUUGUGCUCCUGGGUUCGAGCCCCAGGAUGGGUG